Molecule: long non-coding RNA, 816 nt
Organism: Cotesia glomerata
Lineage: Eukaryota; Metazoa; Arthropoda; Insecta; Hymenoptera; Braconidae
Exons: 3
Source: RefSeq, a predicted model, not a curated record
CGGAAUAUUACUGUAAUAAAAAAUGAUCUGAAGAAAAAACAAUGUGAACAUAACUAUAGCAAAAACAUAUUUACUAACUUAAAAGCGAUAUUUUAGUUGUUACAUUGAUCGUUUAUGUACUGUUAUUAAAAUUAAAAACCUUUGAAAAACUGUUAGUAUAGCAUCAACUACGAUGGCGAUUUUCAAAGUUUUCCGGCAUGAUAAACCGUCUGCAAAAAAACUUAUCAAAGCCGAGACGAUUGCUGAGCUUAUUAAGGCUUCCAAGUCUAAAUAAUCGUGGACAGACAACGAGUAUAAGAUUUAUAUGGAGGAUUUCACUGAAGUAGAUGACGAUGAAAUACUGCAAGAUUUGGCUUCAAAGAGCAAAGAACAACUGGUACUAAUUCUUGAUCCUGAUGGGAUUGAUUGGAAUGGCGAUUUAUCAACAAAAACAGUCAAGUGUCUAAAGAACAAUCUGAGACGGUUACUGAGCCAAGCCCAUCAUCAUCUGAGCCAAGAUCAUCACAGCAAGCUUCUGAUUUAGAUAAUAUUUAUUGCAAAUUGUCAUCUUCGGUGCAAAAAUCACUCCGUACUGGAAAGUUUCUAGACUUCAAUGAAAAGAAAACUCUUAUUCAUGUGGUUGCAAAUUACAUGACAAAUGAUCUCAACGACACCACCCUCACAACGGCAAAGAAAAUGGGUCAUCGAAUAGUUAACAAUUACUCAGCUUCGUUUACAGUGAAAAUUGGAGGUUUUUCUCUAGAAGGAGAAAGUGCGAGCCUUGGACAAAAAAUUCAUGAUUGUAUCAACUACGCCAAGCAAGGUCAUCAUGACAAU